This 380-nucleotide unclassified non-coding RNA is filed under the name uncultured fungus. Its description in RNAcentral is "sequence contains ITS1". The stretch from base 1 to 105 matches the Rfam family "5.8S ribosomal RNA", at positions 50 to 154 of the family's 154-position model. The record is from RNAcentral. Lineage: Eukaryota; Fungi.
GAAAUGCGAUACGUAGUGUGAAUUGCAGAAUUCCGUGAAUCAUCAAAUCUUUGAACGCAUAUUGCGCUCAAGGCUUCGGCCAAGAGCAUGUCUGCCUCAGCGUCGGUGUAACCCUCAUCCUCACACACACACAUGUAUGUGCUGGAUGGAACUGACUCUCCUCGUAUGUAAUAGUACGAGGUGGGUUGAAGUGCGAGGAUGCAGUUCCUAUCAAGGACCUCGAUUGGGUAGGCAAUGAACGUUGCUAACUUAUGCUUAAUCGAUGGUUUGGAAGUGUAUGCCAUAACAAAAGCAGGAUGAUGCCCGAGGCUCACGCCGACGGCUCAAACCACAACACACAAUUCGACCUGAGCUCAGGCAAGAUUACCCGCUGAACUUAA